RNAcentral lists this long non-coding RNA (1065 nucleotides) under Equus asinus (donkey). RNAcentral describes it as "lncRNA (ENSEASG00005023966.1)". The record is from RNAcentral. Lineage: Eukaryota; Metazoa; Chordata; Mammalia; Perissodactyla; Equidae.
GCUCCAGCCCUUGGCCCCCUCCACAUCCUUAACUCUGCCCUCCUGCUCACCGUGGGGACAUCCUCUGGGAGUGUCUCCUUUUCAUCUUCUCCAAGAAAUGUAUCUCUCUGCCUGUCUCAGGCUUUGGCUGUGCCUCCUGCACUUUGACCGUUGUUUAAAUACGAUCCUGGGUAAAAUCUGGUAAAAUUGUGCCUGCUUCCAGAGACCGCAAACUCCCUCCGCUCCUGGAAUCUGGGAUUUGAAAGCUCCCCCGGUGUUUCUCAUCAUCUUACCAGCAGGUUUGAGCAAUACUGGGCUAGAAGGUGGUGAGGGAGGAGAGCCCGGGUUUGUUGUGAGUCGGGGCUCUUAUCCUGAGGAUGCCAUUCAUUCACUGAAUCAACCAAUCCUUCUCUCUUUGCUUUUUUUCUUUCUUUUGAAAGCAUCUUCAAAGCCUGCUUUGUUGCUGGCGCUGUUCUGGGAACCGGGAUUUUGUUUGUGAUAAUUGAUGAGGAAACGUUCUCCCAAGCAGGAGCAUCUAUCUGAUAAUUGGGGAAGGAACGGCUGAAUUAGGUAACGUCCGUUUGUAGCCGCUGAUGUGUGGAUGUUGCUGGGACGCUGACUCAAACAAUGGAUAUUGAGAAAGUAUUUUGAGAAUGAGCAGAGAAAUCUAAAUAUGGGCUAGGUAGAAGGUUUGUGGAAAUCAGUGAAAAUGAAAUGAAAUGAAAACAAGAAAAUAUUUAUUCAGCGCUUGCUACAGUAAGGGAGUCAGCCACUAUCAAGGGGUUUGGCAGAGACCAAAAGGCAAGCAAAGGAGUGUGAACGCUUUAUAGUGGAAAAAAGAAAUCUUCAGGAACAGGCUGACCACAGGCGGGAAAUACACCUGCAACGCAUCCAUCACAGCUGACAGAAGAAUAGAACAAUGUGAUGCCCGGAGCCUGUCAUGCCUGGAGACCAACAUCCCUGGCCCCCCUCAUUGCCCAUUUUCCCUCUGUAACUGCCUCAAGAUUCUCUAAACCUUGAAGAUGGGUUUUGUGAGACAUUAGUCACCUAUCUUGUGAUUAGCCGGCUAAUCUAAUUAAACUUCCU